GGGGUACACGAGUGGCGAACGGGUGAGUAACACGUGGGUGAUCUGCCCUGCACUUCGGGAUAAGCCCGGGAAACUGGGUCUAAUACCGGAUAGGACUGCGCGGUGCAUGCCGUGUGGUGGAAAGAUUUAUCGGUGCAGGAUGGGCCCGCGGCCUAUCAGCUUGUUGGUGGGGUAAUGGCCUACCAAGGCGACGACGGGUAGCCGGCCUGAGAGGGCGACCGGCCACACUGGGACUGAGACACGGCCCAGACUCCUACGGGAGGCAGCAGUGGGGAAUAUUGCACAAUGGGCGCAAGCCUGAUGCAGCGACGCCGCGUGAGGGAUGACGGCCUUCGGGUUGUAAACCUCUUUCAGCAGGGACGAAGCGCAAGUGACGGUACCUGCAGAAGAAGCACCGGCCAACUACGUGCCAGCAGCCGCGGUAAUACGUAGGGUGCAAGCGUUGUCCGGAAUUACUGGGCGUAAAGAGCUCGUAGGCGGUUUGUCGCGUCGUCUGUGAAAACCAGCAGCUCAACUGUUGGCUUGCAGGCGAUACGGGCAGACUUGAGUAUUUCAGGGGAGACUGGAAUUCCUGGUGUAGCGGUGAAAUGCGCAGAUAUCAGGAGGAACACCGGUGGCGAAGGCGGGUCUCUGGGAAAUAACUGACGCUGAGGAGCGAAAGCGUGGGUAGCGAACAGGAUUAGAUACC
RNAcentral lists this ribosomal RNA (688 nucleotides) under Rhodococcus sp. (in: high G+C Gram-positive bacteria). RNAcentral's name for it is "bacterial SSU rRNA". It matches the Rfam family "Bacterial small subunit ribosomal RNA", at positions 84 to 786 of the family's 1533-position model. Lineage: Bacteria; Bacillati; Actinomycetota; Actinomycetes; Mycobacteriales; Nocardiaceae. The record is from RNAcentral.